AGGAUGAACGCUGGCGGUCUGCUUAACACAUGCAAGUCGAACGGAGUAGAAAUACUUAGUGGCGGACGGGUGAGUAACGCGUGAGAAUCUACCUUCAGGACGGAGACAACAGUUGGAAACGACUGCUAACCCCCGAUGUACUGAAAAGGCAAAUAUUUAUAGCCUGAAGAAGAGCUCGCGUCCGAUUAGCUAGUUGGAGAGGUAAAAGCUCACCAAGGCGACGAUCGGUAGCUGGUCUGAGAGGACGAGUCAGCCACACUGGGACUGAGACACGGCCCAGACUCCUACGGGAGGCAGCAGUGGGAAUUUCCGCAAUGGGCGAAAGCCUGACGGAGCAAGACCGCGUGGGGGAAGAAGGCUCUUGGGUUGUAAACCCCUUUUCUCUGGGAAGAACGCAAUGACGGUACCAGAGGAAUCAGCAUCGGCUAACUCCGUGCCAGCAGCCGC
RNAcentral lists this ribosomal RNA (447 nucleotides) under uncultured bacterium. Its description in RNAcentral is "SSU rRNA". It matches the Rfam family "Bacterial small subunit ribosomal RNA", at positions 26 to 518 of the family's 1533-position model. The record is from RNAcentral.